Molecule: ribosomal RNA, 444 nt
Filed under: uncultured bacterium
Lineage: Bacteria
Description: bacterial SSU rRNA
Rfam family: Bacterial small subunit ribosomal RNA
Source: RNAcentral
CCUACGGGACGCACCAGUGGGGAAUCUUGGACAAUGGGCGAAAGUCCGAUCCAGCAAUAUCGCGUGAGUGAAGAAGGGCAAUGCCGCUUGUAAAGCUCUUUAGUCGAGUGCGCGAUCAUGACAGGACUCGAGGAAGAAGCCCCGGCUAACUUCGUGCCAGCAGCCGCGGUAAUGCGAAGGGGGCUAGCGUUGCUCGGAAUGACUGGGCGUAAAGGGCGCGUAGGCGGUUUAUGCAGUCAGAUGUGAAAUCCCCGGGCUUAACCUGGGAACUGCAUUUGAGACGCAUAGACUAGAGGUCGAGAGAGGGUUGUGGAAUUCCCAGUGUAGAGGUGAAAUUCGUAGAUAUUGGGAAGAACACCGGUGGCGAAGGCGGCAACCUGGCUCGAUACUGACGCUGAGGCGCGAAAGCGUGGGGAGCAAACAGGAUUAGAUACCCCAGUAGUC